UCCACAUGCAUGUAAAGGCCACAGAGCUAUGCCAAGGAAGUCUUCAGGUAAAGGUGGAGGAGUCCCAUUGGCAGCAGCUCCUACUGGAACUAGCCCAUCUGCAGCAGCUUGGUGCUGGGGUGAAUGCAGCAAAGCUGGAGCACUUUUCUAGAGUGCUUCCAAAGCAAAGCCAAAAGCCUAGUAGGCACCUAAGGGAGUCUAAUGGUGGGGUCUUUCCAGCAAACAUUUCCCAAACGCUAAGAAGCAGAACUGGAGUCAGCCUGCUUUAGCUCAUGUAACUCCCAUGAGCUAUUUUUUCCUUACAUACUCAUUAGGAAAGAAAAUAGAAAUGCUUUUAGACCUGGAAGAAGAAUGCUACCCACAGCAAUGAGAUAGUAGAGUUUUCCCUAAAAAGGCUGUCCCUAUCAAGGUAACUCUUUCCUAUGCUUCUCUCCUGAAAACUAGGGCCGGCACUGCAGAUGGCUCCAGGGGAAGAGGCAUCCUUACUUGAAUUUCUCAGGUCCAAGGUUCCCAACCACAUAUGGCUCUGUCAUCCUAGAAAACAGGGGCCAGAUAAAUAACUGUUUGGAAAAUCCUCUCAGAGGUGAAAAUGGGAAGAAAGAGAAAGGCAUGUUGUCUUGAAGAGACAUGGCUGGACAGCGUUGAGAAUUAAACUCAAAAUAGUCUUUUGGAAGUAGCCUUUCUAAUCAAAUGGUAAUUUGGUUCCAAAAUACUAGGAAACUGCACUUGCAAAGACUCCACGCAGUUUAAUCGGUGCACUGCACAGACUGACUGCUGUCUGCAAGGACUGGUGAGAAAGAGAGAUGGAGAGACUUGUACAGUAACUGUGAGAGUGCACCAAAGCUCUCCAGAGUCUCAUGACUCCUCUGCGAAAGAACCCACUGCCUCUUUCACCUGCAGAUUUGGAACAAAGCAAGGGUCACACCUUAGUACUAGUCAUGUCUAACACAAGUGGCAACUAUCUUUCAAAUACUAUGUUAAUAAAGACUGAUAUGUACCUACUGAGUUAGUAAGCCUCAAGAGCCACAGAAUCAUAGGGUUUGGAAGGGACCCGCGUAUUUAAUCCAGCCCAACCCCCUGCUGAAGAAGAACAAGACCAGACCCAGUAUGUACCCAGAAGAAACAGUGCUAGCUACAUGCCUCCCACUAUACUUUGUGCUGCUGAUCACAACCCUUUGAGCCCUGACAGUCAGCCAGUUCUCAAUCCACCUCACUGUCUACCUAUGCAUUCCACGCUCCUAAGAUUACCUACGAGGAUGUUAGGGGAGAUAGUAUGUAAAACUUUGCUGAAGAAUGCUGGUGUAGGAUUCCAGAUCCAGGGCUUUUUUACUGUCAGCUUUCAUUCUGAUUUAGUAAUGUUAAGUACAGUACAUGCAAAUUGUUAUGCAGGCAAGCCAUGUAACAGACCAAAAAAAGAAGUCCAUAUUUGAGAUGUAUGAUGUCUGCAGAAUGUGGAAAAAUGAACUGUUAUUUCACGCUGACCUCUGUGAACGCUAACCCAUCUCAGGGACCUAAAGGACCAAGAGAUACCAUGGGACAAGGUCAUGCCUCAACACAAUGUGGAGGCCAUGCCCUGGAGAAAUGGCCUUGCUACUCGACUUCAGCAUCAACCUGAUUCACCAUAAGUGAAAGAGCAGGAGUGUUUGUAUCAAAGUCCUUCCAGUUGAUGGUGUCCUCUUUAACUCCACUGGGGAAGAACAUGUUUAUUUCAGAAACAGCGUGGUUUUAGUACAUAGGCAAUUACUGCAGUGAGGAUGUACAGGGCUGGUGGUGACAGCAUUGCAGAGAGAAACUCCAGCUGGUUUAUAGUAGUUAAGCCUGGUAUCUGCUAGCAUACUUCUGAGACAAUGGGAAGGUCAGAAGAAGCUGCAUAACUUGCUUCCUAAGCAGGGCUGCUUUGACCUUUCCAUGGCAGACUGCUCCUGUGACCUGGGCUGGAUGUGGCCUGGCCCAUGGAUGUACACAGACCAGAAGAUAUACUCCUUGGAGUUACCUGAGAUAUAUAUAAUAGACAGGGAGAAGCUUAAAAUGACACUGACAAGUUACUUGGGAGGGGAAGCAAAACUAAGACAUCAGUCAUAAAAAUAUAUUCUUCUGUCUCUGGCACACAAAUCACCUAGACUUAGUUUGCACCAUGAGCAUUUACUGCAUGCAUGCUGAACCAGGGCAAGCUCUUGCUGGCAGCUUUUUAAAGUAAUGCCACAGCAGCAUUCACGUAUAGGGAGGACAGAGUUAAAGAGCUGACCCUGGGGCAACUAUUUAAAUAACCCAACUACUGGUGCAUUAUGGACAGGUGAAAGAGCUCUUUAAUAGUCUGCCUUUUCUCCUUGUGUCAGUUAUGCGCCCAUCUCUCAGCAUCCCAAUCAGCAGCCAGCCUGAAGCUACCAACCUCCCCCAGAGAAGGUGGAACAACAAAAGGGUUAACAAAAAAUUCACUGUGGCAACCACAGAAUGUUCCCAACUUUUCAUGUAAAUACUGUGACUAACAGCUCCAUAAACCAGCCUGUCACCCGGACUGUAAGAACAGAUGUGAUAGCAACAAGGAAUUAAAAUCUUAGUUAAUAAUCCCUCAAUCAAGGGCAAUCUUUUCUUUUACUUUCCGGACUUGUGCUGCUACUCAAUAAACGAAAUAGGAAAAAGAUAUUUUCUCUGACCUGCAAGUGACUCCAUCAGCCAUAACACACAACUCCUACUGCUACAAUUGCCGAAAAGAACACUUUUACAUUUGAACUUCAAGAGGAUUUACUUGGACCAGAGGCAGCCAGAAACAGAAGAAUUUUAAUGACUGUGGGAGGACUGUUGGUAUUUUAAGAAGUCUUCUAAAACCCUUUGCGGGAUUGAAGAUAAGAAAAAUAAGUGGAGCAAUUUUUUUUCCACUAAG
Gallus gallus (chicken) is the source of this 2881-nucleotide long non-coding RNA. NCBI's taxonomy places the organism in Eukaryota, Metazoa, Chordata, Aves, Galliformes, Phasianidae. The record is from Ensembl.